AAAGUGAUAUAUUAUUUUCCCAAAUCGGUGACUUACCUGAAGAUGUUUUCACAAAUUUUUGACUUACCUGAAACUCUAGCUGGUAGAUGAAGAAACUGUUUUUCCCGAUAUGAUCUUUGCCGACGGAGAAGAUCUCUUUUUUUUUUUGUUAUAAAGCAUCUUCUUUGAUCUUUUUCAUUCUAAUAUUUUUAUUCCAAUUAUUUUUUUGGAUUUUUUGAAUGGUAUGAAUCUCUGUUUGUUAUAGGGAAUCAUAUCAGAUUUCCACCGGCUCUGUUUGUUUCUCUUGAACAUAUUAAUAACUGACUGUGCUUGUGCAGAGAAGAUGAACGGAAGUUGCGUGAUGAUCCAUGUUAUUGUCCUCAAUUUUUUUU
RNAcentral lists this long non-coding RNA (371 nucleotides) under Brassica napus (rape). RNAcentral's name for it is "long non-coding RNA (BNAP_LNC005876)". Lineage: Eukaryota; Viridiplantae; Streptophyta; Magnoliopsida; Brassicales; Brassicaceae. The record is from RNAcentral.